RNAcentral lists this ribosomal RNA (569 nucleotides) under uncultured bacterium. RNAcentral describes it as "partial 16S ribosomal RNA". It matches the Rfam family "Bacterial small subunit ribosomal RNA", at positions 355 to 914 of the family's 1533-position model. The record is from RNAcentral.
UGGGGAAUAUUGGACAAUGGGCGCAAGCCUGAUCCAGCAAUGCCGCGUGUGUGAAGAAGGCCUUCGGGUUGUAAAGCACUUUUAUCAGGAGCGAAACGCUGUCGGCUAAUACCCGGCGGAACUGACGGUACCUGAGGAAUAGGCACCGGCUAACUUCGUGCCAGCAGCCGCGGUAAUACGAAGGGUGCAAGCGUUAAUCGGAAUUACUGGGCGUAAAGCGUGCGUAGGCGGUUUCUUAAGUCUGCUGUGAAAUCCCCGGGCUCAACCUGGGAAUGGCAGUGGAUACUGGGAGGCUAGAGUGUGUCAGAGGGUGGUGGAAUUCCCGGUGUAGCGGUGAAAUGCGUAGAGAUCGGGAGGAACAUCAGUGGCGAAGGCGGCCACCUGGGACAACACUGACGCUGAGGCACGAAAGCGUGGGGAGCAAACAGGAUUAGAUACCCUGGUAGUCCACGCCCUAAAGCGAUGCGAACUGGAUGUUGGUCUCAACUCGGAGAUCAGUGUCGAAGCUAACGCGUUAAGUUCGCCGCCUGGGGAGUACGGUCGCAAGACUGAAACUCAAAGGAAUUGAC